UUCCAGACUCCUACGGGAGGCAGCAGUGAGGAAUAUUGGUCAAUGGGCGAGAGCCUGAACCAGCCAAGUCGCGUGAAGGAUGAAGGAUCUAUGGUUUGUAAACUUCUUUUAUAUGGGAAUAAAGUGAGGAACGUGUUCCUUUUUGUAUGUACCAUAUGAAUAAGCACCGGCUAACUCCGUGCCAGCAGCCGCGGUAAUACGGAGGGUGCGAGCGUUAAUCGGAAUUACUGGGCGUAAAGCGCUCGUAGGCGGUAUGUCAAGUCAAGGGUGAAAUCCCCGCGCUCAACGUGGGAACUGCCUUUGAAACUGGCAAACUGGAGUGUGUGAGAGGAUAGUGGAAUUCCAGGUGUAGGAGUGAAAUCCGUAGAUAUCUGGAGGAACAUCAGUGGCGAAGGCGACUAUCUGGCACAUAACUGACGCUGAGGAGCGAAAGCGUAGGUAGCAAACAGGAUUAGAUACCCGUGUA
This 466-nucleotide ribosomal RNA is filed under the name uncultured bacterium. RNAcentral's name for it is "bacterial SSU rRNA". It matches the Rfam family "Bacterial small subunit ribosomal RNA", at positions 329 to 792 of the family's 1533-position model. The record is from RNAcentral.